RNAcentral lists this ribosomal RNA (2905 nucleotides) under Escherichia coli KTE141. RNAcentral's name for it is "bacterial LSU rRNA". It matches the Rfam family "Bacterial large subunit ribosomal RNA". The record is from RNAcentral. Lineage: Bacteria; Pseudomonadati; Pseudomonadota; Gammaproteobacteria; Enterobacterales; Enterobacteriaceae.
UUAAGCGACUAAGCGUACACGGUGGAUGCCCUGGCAGUCAGAGGCGAUGAAGGACGUGCUAAUCUGCGAUAAGCGUCGGUAAGGUGAUAUGAACCGUUAUAACCGGCGAUUUCCGAAUGGGGAAACCCAGUGUGAUUCGUCACACUAUCAUUAACUGAAUCCAUAGGUUAAUGAGGCGAACCGGGGGAACUGAAACAUCUAAGUACCCCGAGGAAAAGAAAUCAACCGAGAUUCCCCCAGUAGCGGCGAGCGAACGGGGAGGAGCCCAGAGCCUGAAUCAGUGUGUGUGUUAGUGGAAGCGUCUGGAAAGGCGCGCGAUACAGGGUGACAGCCCCGUACACAAAAAUGCACAUAUUGUGAGCUCGAUGAGUAGGGCGGGACACGUGGUAUCCUGUCUGAAUAUGGGGGGACCAUCCUCCAAGGCUAAAUACUCCUGACUGACCGAUAGUGAACCAGUACCGUGAGGGAAAGGCGAAAAGAACCCCGGCGAGGGGAGUGAAAAAGAACCUGAAACCGUGUACGUACAAGCAGUGGGAGCCUCUUUUAUGGGGUGACUGCGUACCUUUUGUAUAAUGGGUCAGCGACUUAUAUUCUGUAGCAAGGUUAACCGAAUAGGGGAGCCGAAGGGAAACCGAGUCUUAACUGGGCGUUAAGUUGCAGGGUAUAGACCCGAAACCCGGUGAUCUAGCCAUGGGCAGGUUGAAGGUUGGGUAACACUAACUGGAGGACCGAACCGACUAAUGUUGAAAAAUUAGCGGAUGACUUGUGGCUGGGGGUGAAAGGCCAAUCAAACCGGGAGAUAGCUGGUUCUCCCCGAAAGCUAUUUAGGUAGCGCCUCGUGAAUUCAUCUCCGGGGGUAGAGCACUGUUUCGGCAAGGGGGUCAUCCCGACUUACCAACCCGAUGCAAACUGCGAAUACCGGAGAAUGUUAUCACGGGAGACACACGGCGGGUGCUAACGUCCGUCGUGAAGAGGGAAACAACCCAGACCGCCAGCUAAGGUCCCAAAGUCAUGGUUAAGUGGGAAACGAUGUGGGAAGGCCCAGACAGCCAGGAUGUUGGCUUAGAAGCAGCCAUCAUUUAAAGAAAGCGUAAUAGCUCACUGGUCGAGUCGGCCUGCGCGGAAGAUGUAACGGGGCUAAACCAUGCACCGAAGCUGCGGCAGCGACGCUUAUGCGUUGUUGGGUAGGGGAGCGUUCUGUAAGCCUGUGAAGGUGGCCUGUGAGGGUUGCUGGAGGUAUCAGAAGUGCGAAUGCUGACAUAAGUAACGAUAAAGCGGGUGAAAAGCCCGCUCGCCGGAAGACCAAGGGUUCCUGUCCAACGUUAAUCGGGGCAGGGUGAGUCGACCCCUAAGGCGAGGCCGAAAGGCGUAGUCGAUGGGAAACAGGUUAAUAUUCCUGUACUUGGUGUUACUGCGAAGGGGGGGACGGAGAAGGCUAUGUUGGCCGGGCGACGGUUGUCCCGGUUUAAGCGUGUAGGCUGGUUUUCCAGGCAAAUCCGGAAAACCAAGGCUGAGGCGUGAUGACGAGGCACUACGGUGCUGAAGCGACAAAUGCCCUGCUUCCAGGAAAAGCCUCUAAGCAUCAGGUAACAUCAAAUCGUACCCCAAACCGACACAGGUGGUCAGGUAGAGAAUACCAAGGCGCUUGAGAGAACUCGGGUGAAGGAACUAGGCAAAAUGGUGCCGUAACUUCGGGAGAAGGCACGCUGAUAUGUAGGUGAAGCGACUUGCUCGUGGAGCUGAAAUCAGUCGAAGAUACCAGCUGGCUGCAACUGUUUAUUAAAAACACAGCACUGUGCAAACACGAAAGUGGACGUAUACGGUGUGACGCCUGCCCGGUGCCGGAAGGUUAAUUGAUGGGGUUAGCGGUAACGCGAAGCUCUUGAUCGAAGCCCCGGUAAACGGCGGCCGUAACUAUAACGGUCCUAAGGUAGCGAAAUUCCUUGUCGGGUAAGUUCCGACCUGCACGAAUGGCGUAAUGAUGGCCAGGCUGUCUCCACCCGAGACUCAGUGAAAUUGAACUCGCUGUGAAGAUGCAGUGUACCCGCGGCAAGACGGAAAGACCCCGUGAACCUUUACUAUAGCUUGACACUGAACAUUGAGCCUUGAUGUGUAGGAUAGGUGGGAGGCUUUGAAGUGUGGACGCCAGUCUGCAUGGAGCCGACCUUGAAAUACCACCCUUUAAUGUUUGAUGUUCUAACGUUGGCCCGUAAUCCGGGUUGCGGACAGUGUCUGGUGGGUAGUUUGACUGGGGCGGUCUCCUCCUAAAGAGUAACGGAGGAGCACGAAGGUUGGCUAAUCCUGGUCGGACAUCAGGAGGUUAGUGCAAUGGCAUAAGCCAGCUUGACUGCGAGCGUGACGGCGCGAGCAGGUGCGAAAGCAGGUCAUAGUGAUCCGGUGGUUCUGAAUGGAAGGGCCAUCGCUCAACGGAUAAAAGGUACUCCGGGGAUAACAGGCUGAUACCGCCCAAGAGUUCAUAUCGACGGCGGUGUUUGGCACCUCGAUGUCGGCUCAUCACAUCCUGGGGCUGAAGUAGGUCCCAAGGGUAUGGCUGUUCGCCAUUUAAAGUGGUACGCGAGCUGGGUUUAGAACGUCGUGAGACAGUUCGGUCCCUAUCUGCCGUGGGCGCUGGAGAACUGAGGGGGGCUGCUCCUAGUACGAGAGGACCGGAGUGGACGCAUCACUGGUGUUCGGGUUGUCAUGCCAAUGGCACUGCCCGGUAGCUAAAUGCGGAAGAGAUAAGUGCUGAAAGCAUCUAAGCACGAAACUUGCCCCGAGAUGAGUUCUCCCUGACUCCUUGAGGGUCCUGAAGGAACGUUGAAGACGACGACGUUGAUAGGCCGGGUGUGUAAGCGCAGCGAUGCGUUGAGCUAACCGGUACUAAUGAACCGUGAGGCUUAACCUU